GCCCGGUUAGCUCAAUCGGUAGAGCGUAAGACUCUUAAUUAAGUGGCAUCUUAAGGCUGGGGGUUCGAGCCCCCCAUCGGGCU
This is a non-coding RNA of Ophiocordyceps unilateralis, 83 nucleotides long. The record is from Rfam. NCBI's taxonomy places the organism in Eukaryota, Fungi, Ascomycota, Sordariomycetes, Hypocreales, Ophiocordycipitaceae.